UACGAAGGGGGCUAGCGUUGCUCGGAAUCACUGGGCGUAAAGCGCACGUAGGCGGAUUGCUAAGUCAGGGGUGAAAUCCUGGAGCUCAACUCCAGAACUGCCUUUGAUACUGGCGAUCUUGAGUCCGGGAGAGGUGAGUGGAACUCCGAGUGUAGAGGUGAAAUUCGUAGAUAUUCGCAAGAACACCAGUGGCGAAGGCGGCUCACUGGCCCGGUACUGACGCUGAGGCACGAAAGCGUGGGGAGCAGACAGG
RNAcentral lists this ribosomal RNA (253 nucleotides) under uncultured bacterium. Its description in RNAcentral is "partial 16S ribosomal RNA". It matches the Rfam family "Bacterial small subunit ribosomal RNA", at positions 524 to 776 of the family's 1533-position model. The record is from RNAcentral.